This 382-nucleotide RNase P RNA is filed under the name Thermoleophilaceae bacterium. RNAcentral describes it as "RNase P RNA component class A". It matches the Rfam family "Bacterial RNase P class A". Rfam says of the family: Ribonuclease P (RNase P) is a ubiquitous endoribonuclease, found in archaea, bacteria and eukarya as well as chloroplasts and mitochondria. Its best characterised activity is the generation of mature 5'-ends of tRNAs by cleaving the 5'-leader elements of precursor-tRNAs. Cellular RNase Ps are ribonucleoproteins. The record is from RNAcentral. Lineage: Bacteria; Bacillati; Actinomycetota; Thermoleophilia; Thermoleophilales; Thermoleophilaceae.
GGUGUUGGCUAGGCAGCCGCGGGGCGGCGGAGAGAAAACCGUCGUCUCGAGGAAAGUCCGGACACCGCAGAGCGAGGGUGGUCGGGAAAUCCGACCCGGGGAGACCCGCGGGACAGUGCCACAGAAACGACACCGCCUAAGCGGCGGCCCGCACGUGAGGCCGUCGCCGGUAAGGGUGAAAUGGUGCGGUAAGAGCGCACCGGCGGCGCGGCGACGCGCCGGCCGAGGCAAACCCCACCCGGUGCAAGGCCAAGCAGGGACGUUGACGCUGCUCGCCGAGUCCCAGGUAGGCCGCAGGGCCGCGAGGCCCGUCCGAGCCGCAAGGCCCGGGCAGAUGGAUGGCUGCUCACGACAGAAUCCGGCUUAACGGCCAGCAGCGAAG